AGUGGGCAGUAGAAAGAGAGAAGGGAGGAGAGGAUUGUGUAAAUGCUGCAUCAAUGGCCAAAGGCCACCAUGUCCUUGGAGGUGACCGUCUGCUGGGUCCCUGAAAUGAGAGAAGAUAUGCAGUGUAUAUGAAUGGACUCAAACACCGCCAAUCCUCAUUUUGUCGUGUCACAGGAUCGGAGGAAUGUGUCAUUCGUGGAGGCCCCGCAAGAUAAGCAGGAUGGGCCGCAGAAUGGGCCAGUCUAAUUGUUAACCCUUUCAGAUCCCCAGAGGAAACUCCCCUAAUCCCCUCGGCCCGAACCCCAGACAACGGAGCACCAGAGUUCGUACAACACAGAUCAAGGCAAAUAUCUGGAUUCUCUCAGGGGAGUUAAUUACGGUAGAAUUGAAAAUGCAA
Molecule: long non-coding RNA, 397 nt
Organism: Ornithorhynchus anatinus (platypus)
Lineage: Eukaryota; Metazoa; Chordata; Mammalia; Monotremata; Ornithorhynchidae
Exons: 3
Source: RefSeq, a predicted model, not a curated record